AUACGGAGGAUCCGAGCGUUAUCCGGAUUUAUUGGGUUUAAAGGGAGCGUAGGUGGGAUAUUAAGUCAGCUGUGAAAGUUUGGGGCUCAACCUUAAAAUUGCAGUUGAUACUGGUUUCCUUGAGUACGGUACAGGUGGGCGGAAUUCGUGGUGUAGCGGUGAAAUGCUUAGAUAUCACGAAGAACUCCGAUCGCGAAGGCAGCUCACCGGGCCGGAACUGACACUGAUGCUCGAAAGUGCUGGUAUCAAACAGGAUUAGAUACCCUGGUAGUCCGCACAGUAAACGAUGAAUACUCGCUGUUUGCGAUACACGGUAAGCGGCCAAGCGAAAGCGUUAAGUAUUCCCCCUGGGGAGUACGCCGGCAACGGUGAAACUCAAAGGAAUUGACGGGG
RNAcentral lists this ribosomal RNA (393 nucleotides) under uncultured bacterium. Its description in RNAcentral is "partial 16S ribosomal RNA". It matches the Rfam family "Bacterial small subunit ribosomal RNA", at positions 523 to 918 of the family's 1533-position model. The record is from RNAcentral.